CCUACGGGGGGCAGCAGUGAGGAAUAUUGGUCAAUGGACGCAAGUCUGAACCAGCCAUGCCGCGUGCAGGAAGACUGCUCUAUGAGUUGUAAACUGCUUUUGUACGAGGGUAAAUCCCGAUACGUGUAUCGGGUUGAAAGUAUCGUACGAAUAAGGAUCGGCUAACUCCGUGCCAGCAGCCGCGGUAAUACGGAGGAUUCAAGCGUUAUCCGGAUUUAUUGGGUUUAAAGGGUGCGUAGGUGGUUCGAUAAGUUAGUGGUGAAAUCCCGGGGAUCAACUGCGGAACUGCAUCUGAUACUGUCGGGCUAGAGUAUAGGUGCGGUAGGCGGAAUGUGUGGUGUAGCGGUGAAAUGCAUAGAGAUCAUGCAGAACACCGAGUGCGAAGGCAGCUUACCAAACUGCGACUGACGUUGAGGCACGAAAGCGUGGGGAGCAAACAGGAUUAGAUACCCCUGUAGUC
This 460-nucleotide ribosomal RNA is filed under the name uncultured bacterium. RNAcentral describes it as "partial 16S ribosomal RNA". It matches the Rfam family "Bacterial small subunit ribosomal RNA", at positions 338 to 795 of the family's 1533-position model. The record is from RNAcentral.